This is a long non-coding RNA of Xiphophorus couchianus (Monterrey platyfish), 2517 nucleotides long. RefSeq lists it as uncharacterized. The transcript has 2 exons. The record is from RefSeq and is a predicted model, not a curated record. Lineage: Eukaryota; Metazoa; Chordata; Actinopteri; Cyprinodontiformes; Poeciliidae.
UCCAGUGAUGCAUUUAAAUCUGAGUGAGAACGGUUCGUUAUUUUUCAGACCAACAUGUAAUUUCAAACAAGCCGUGCUGUGGAGAAGACAAUACCUGUUUGCUCAGCUGUGCAGCUUCACGUCAACAUCUGGAGACGAUCCUUUGGCACUGAAAAGCCAAAGGGAAAAAGAAAUACUAGACUGUUAUCUUUUAUUUGGCUGGAGAACGUAUAUUCCAGUGUCCAGGGAGGUAAAGAAGGGAGAUUGUGCCAUAUGUAUUUAACGUACACUGAGUGAAAACCAGAGGAGCUUUCCAGGUGUUGUAGUGUUUGGAGAGGUUUGGUAUUUGGAGGUCGUAUUUCAACAAAGCCAGGCCGCGUGACAGCGGGCGAAAAAAGAGAAACGUGCUCGGCCUCCAGAGAGCAUCGGCAGGUUGGUUUAGGCACAGAGAGGAGAAAUUCCUCAGCAGCUCUGUAAUCCUGCUGAGAUUAUUCAGGACGGCUUGGGGGUCAUCCGACGGCCCAGGGGAGACGGAGAGCAGACACACACUUCCUCACAUCGGAGUCCUUACACAACAAGCAGACACACACUUCUUCCAGCGAAGCCAGAGACAAAACAUAUUUACAAUAAAAGCAACGUCUAUGCGCCGUCUCACAAGAUUCAUUACCCCAAAUGGCGAGGUGACUCAGACUUGGACAGCAGAUCAAGACAUGACCUUUCUCUUUCUCCAGACAUUAUCUAAGACUCUGUUUCUUCAUGUAUCGAUGCUUUUUCUUUUUGUUUAACUUUGUAUUAUUGCAGCAAAUGUCUCUGAGCAGAAAAUAUGACUUUUCAAAAUGAAACAGGGUCUAUAAAAGAAUGCGUUGACCUCGUAAUAUUAGGUAAUUAUUUGUACUGAGUUCUGGACCUAAUUGAAAGCAUGAAAAAAGGACUGUGAAAAAGUUCUGAGACAAUUUUAAUCUGAUAAUCUUUUAAAGAGUCUUAAUCAUUUUUCAGGCUUAUUCCAAAUAUUUUGAGGCUUAUUCACAUGUAGCUCUGAAAAUUAAGUACAGAAAUGCCUUUUCCACUCCCAAAAAGGCGUGGUCACAGAUGUCGGGGGCGUGGUCAUAGAGGUUAGGGGAGGGGCCACUUGCUACCCUUCAAAUACGAUUGGCCAGCCCCAACAGUUUGUUAAUAUCAUAUUGUACAUAGAUUAGAGUUUUGUCCACACUUAAUGUGAAUCCUAAUCCUUUUGCUGUUUUCAGCCACCAUUAAUAUUUUCUUUUUGUUGACUGUUUCAAGUUUUAAAAAUGGGACAUUACAUAUUAACAUUUACAUGUACAUAAAUGAGAUUAUGGCCAAAGUGGAUUAUGUUUAUCUCUAGUCCCGUCGGCAGGUUGAUAAAUAUGAUGUUUAAAAAGAAAAAGCAAAAAAAGCAGAAUUAGGCUACUGCACAAAAAACCUCCCAGUUGUUUGCAAUUUGUCGUUUAUAAUUGUUAAGUUGCAUAGAGUUAGCAUAACUGUGCUAAACAGAAAGUAGAGCUGUAUACAGUUAAGCUAUGCUAAGCUAAAUAGGCCAAUCGCGUGACUGGUAAAAUUAGCUUGUAACAAACAAAUCUACUUUAUAGUUUUCAUAUGCUUUUUGUUUUGGUAAAUAAAUAGUUCUGUUAUUCAACUUUUGGCCAACUGUUCAUUUUAAUAUAAACUUCAGUGCAUUUAGAUGAAAUUGGCUAUUUUAGAGUGCCACAUACAGUUUAUAUCCCUGCCUGGCAUUAAAAAAAAAUCUGGACACACCCCUUAUUAUACCUACUAAAAAUUGUUCAUUGUGAAAUCAUGCUACAGCAGUAAACUAUUUAUUGAUUUAGGAUUGAUUUUUCAGUAAGUUUAGAGUAUCCUAUACGUUUUCUUACUAAGUUUAUAGCUACAUUUUUAAUUAUGAAUGUUGACAAGUGACCUCAUCAUGCUAACUGCAACUUUGAUUCACAUUUAGCUACAACACAAUUAUUCAGUUGAUGAUAAUCAAAUGGACCUGACAGUUAACAGGUCCAGCCGUCGCUGCAUCUCUUGGUGCCACAAAGAGGUUCCUUAAAGGGGCGGGACGUUUUUUAAACAGACCAACUGUGGUUGUACUUCACUGGAGGCGGCGCGCUCCGGUAGCACCAGCAGGUCGAAUAAAGAGGGUGGUGAAAUUCUCAGACAAGAUUUAAACAAACGGCGAGACCGAUGGUGGCUCAGCUGUUCUCGGACCACACACCACCGAUGAAGAAGUGUUUCAGCAGUUUGAGCAAAAGCACUCCUCCUUCAGAGGACAUAUUAAGAACUUCUCAUACACGGGUGUGAUGUAAUGCUGGUGCCAUCUGUUUAUUUGAUUUGCAAACAUGAGACAUUCAAUAAUCAAUGAUGUAUUUUUAAAAUAAGUGAGAUGUCUGAUCUGUGUAGCAAAAGUGCAGGAAAUCUCAUUUUAUUGCAAUUCAGUCUCUGCUCUUCAAAUUCCUGUAGCAGAAAGAAAAACAUUCUCAUGUAAGAAAAUAGCUAUAUAGAUGACAUCUUUUUUUUAUA